RNAcentral lists this long non-coding RNA (416 nucleotides) under Elaeis guineensis (African oil palm). RNAcentral's name for it is "long non-coding RNA (EGUI_LNC020675)". The record is from RNAcentral. Lineage: Eukaryota; Viridiplantae; Streptophyta; Magnoliopsida; Arecales; Arecaceae.
ACUAUUAUGACACUCCUUUACUAUUUUUAGGCUGCACAUUUGAGAAAGCACAAUGUUCUUUCCCCUCUAAGAUGAACACUUUCAAGUAUGAUUCUUCUCCUUCAAGGCCAUAGAAACACAUAUAACUUGAGAAAAUACUAGGAUUGUCAAUGAGAAAAUACCUUUGGGGUCUGUGUCAUGCUCGAUGUCGUCAACGAUGCAAGCCCACGACUGAGGGAGAGGAGCUGAGAGAGCUUGCGGAUGGACAUUGGCCAAAAGGGGGCACGAGAGAGAGAGAGAGAGGAGCUGAGGGAGAUGAGCUACGCAGUAGUUGGAACCCUAGCAUGAAGAAAUAAUGGGAGAAGGGGAGAAGAAGGUCAUGAUGAUGUUACAGCCCGUUAAUGAGCCGUCCUAUGGUAGGACUACUCAUUUAGUCG